Molecule: long non-coding RNA, 1767 nt
Organism: Trachemys scripta elegans
Lineage: Eukaryota; Metazoa; Chordata; Testudines; Emydidae
Exons: 3
Source: RefSeq, a predicted model, not a curated record
AUAGUGCUUUCAAAUCUGCUUGUGUGAGUAAGUGCUACUCAACGUGAGUAAGACUAGCAGACUCUAAAUGCUGGGUCUAAAUUAACCAUAGUGUCCAUUUAACAAUACUAUAUAACAUUAUUAGAAAUAGCUCAUGUGCAUCUGCAAUUCCUGACUAGCUUUGGCGAUCCAAAGGGAGAACUUCUUACAUUACAUUGUAUGUUUGCUAACUAAAAUGCUAGCAAAUCCAGUCUCCAAUUUGGGAUAGCUCCUUUCCAAAUUUAGCUUGCAAAAGAUGAGUGGUUUUCAGACAUUUGUGAGAUGGCUGAAAGUCAAACAUGGGUUGAACUGAACUGUACAGUUGGUGGAAUAUAACAUACCGUAUGCAGUCAGCUGCCUAGAAGGGCAAACACCACUUCAAGACAAGAUUGCAGUUACAUGAUGACAAAGCUAUGCUGUGCAGUGAGUUAUAAUCAAUUUGUCCUGGCUGAGUCUGCCCCUUGUGGACGGUCACCAGUCUGCGGUAGUGAACCUUUGGAUUCCACCUGCUUCCAGCCUACUGGGUUUGUAGAGAGGCCAGGCACUGUCUCUGCUUCCUCCUCUAGACACACUCCCAGGGUGUAGACUGCGUGUCUGAACUCCUUCCUUGGGAUGGGAGACUCCACCGGCCAACUGCUCUCGACCCCAGGAUCAGUGCUGAACCUCCCAAGGCUCUUCAGUUGCUUAUGCAUGUUCCCAUGCAGCACUUCCCUCCUGCCUCUGCCCCAUGGGAUGUCUGGUUUAUAAUUUGAUUCUUCAGGAACAUGUGGCUGUGCAAGGAACUUCUUAAAAAUGCACACUUUACUCUUAGGGCUUGUUUACAAAGGGACAGUCAGGAAAAUUAAUCCGAAUUCAGAUUAAACUAAACCAAAUUAAGGCCACUUUAAUUCUGAACGAGAGUGUUCACACAGGGGUUUAAUGCGGUUUAACUAAUCCACUUUAAAUUCACAUCUUUAGUUAGUUCGGAUUAAUUUCCCGAGUAUCCCAGUGUAAAGAAGCCCUUAGAGAGCACAGGACAUUUACCAAUCUAGCAAAUCAGCAAACAUCUUUAACACAACCCCACUCUUGAAUCCUCACUGCUACUGAGUCCUUGGGAUUUGGACCAUGUCCUUGGGUGAAGGCAAAGCCCCACUUCCCUGGGGGAGGUCUGUUUGAGUGGUGGAAUGGCUCCAUUUCCUUACAGAGCAUGUCAUUUUCAAAGCAGUCUGUGCCACCUUUGUUUGUUUGUUUCUAUACUUCUGCUGGGGAUUUUCCAUGCUCCAAACCCCUAGGAAUUACUGGGGCAGAGUCAUCAAAAGUCAAUGGUUCUGUUGGUAGCAACCUCAUUGUUCUACCAGGGCAGAGGAAGUGAAUGUUAAUGGACCUUGAUAGCCCUGUCACACAGUCUCCAGACAUAGCUGCCAGCUUCCUGCUACAAGAUGGAUGAUCACCUUCACAACGACUGUUACAAGUACCAGUAUUGUUCCUAAAACAGCAUGGAAUUCAUAACUGGACCCCAAACUAUCCCAUAAGCAAAUAAGUUGGUGCUGGACCGGAGGUAACCUGGCCCCUAAGAGUGGUGUUCUUGAAGAUAAAACAGAUUUUGACAGCAAGAUUUUCUCUGACAAGUGUCAUGUAGACAAGGAAUUUGGGUUCUUGGAGGCUCCACUGAAUGCAAUUUGAUCCUGCUCCUGUAGUGACCGAGGCCACAGACAGGAAAGAGAAGACAGUGUUGGGGCUGACGCUGCUACUUCUAACUGCGAAAGGAGC